RNAcentral lists this ribosomal RNA (856 nucleotides) under uncultured bacterium. RNAcentral describes it as "bacterial SSU rRNA". It matches the Rfam family "Bacterial small subunit ribosomal RNA", at positions 524 to 1381 of the family's 1533-position model. The record is from RNAcentral.
UACGAAGGGACCUAGCGUAGUUCGGAAUUACUGGGCUUAAAGAGUUCGUAGGUGGUUGAAAAAGUUAGUGGUGAAAUCCCAGAGCUUAACUCUGGAACUGCCAUUAAAACUUUUCAGCUAGAGUAUGAUAGAGGAAAGCAGAAUUUCUAGUGUAGAGGUGAAAUUCGUAGAUAUUAGAAAGAAUACCAAUUGCGAAGGCAGCUUUCUGGAUCAUUACUGACACUGAGGAACGAAAGCAUGGGUAGCGAAGAGGAUUAGAUACCCUCGUAGUCCAUGCCGUAAACGAUGUGUGUUAGACGUUGGAAAUUUAUUUUCAGUGUCGCAGGGAAACCGAUAAACACACCGCCUGGGGAGUACGACCGCAAGGUUAAAACUCAAAUGAAUUGACGGGGACCCGCACAAGUAGUGGAGCAUGUGGUUUAAUUCGAAGAUACGCGCAGAACCUUACCAACACUUGACAUGUUCGUCGCGACUCUAAGAGAUUAGAGUUUUCGGUUCGGCCGGACGAAACACAGGUGCUGCAUGGCUGUCGUCAGCUCGUGUCGUGAGAUGUUGGGUUAAGUCCCGCAACGAGCGCAACCCUCACUUUUAGUUGCCAUCAUUAAGUUGGGCACUCUGAGAGAACUGCCAGUGAUAAGCUGGAGGAAGGUGGGGAUGACGUCAAGUCCUCAUGGCCCUUACGUGUUGGGCUACACACGUGCUACAAUGGUAUCUACAACAGGAAGCAAGACUGCGAAGUUUAGCAAAUCCCUAAAAGAUACCUCAGUUCGGAUUGCACUCUGCAACUCGAGUGCACGAAGCUGGAAUUACUAGUAAUCGUGGAUCAGCGUGCCACGGUGAAUGCGUUCCCGGGUCU